GAUCUAGCUUGCUAGAUGCUGACGAGUGGCGCACGGGUGCGUAACGCGUAUACAAUCUACCUUUAACUGAGGGAUAGCCCAGAGAAAUUUGGAUUAGUACCUCAUAGUAUUAUAAUUAGGCAUCUUUUUAUAAUUAAAACUUCGGUGGUUAAAGAUGAGUAUGCGUACUAUUAGCUAGUUGGUAAGGUAAAAGCUUACCAAGGCAACGAUAGUUAGGGGGCCUGAAAGGGUGAUCCCCCACACUGGUACUGAGACACGGACCAGACUCCUACGGGAGGCAGCAGUGAGGAAUAUUGCACAAUGGAGGAAACUCUGAUGCAGCCAUGCCGCGUGCAGGAAGAAUGCCCUAUGGGUUGUAAACUGCUUUUAUACAAGAAGAAACCUCGGUACGUGUACCGACUUGACGGUAUUGUAUGAAUAAGCACCGGCUAACUCCGUGCCAGCAGCCGCGGUAAUACGGAGGGUGCAAGCGUUAUCCGGAUUUAUUAGGUUUAAAGGGUCCGCAGGCGGAAUAUUAAGUCAGUGGUGAAAGCCUACAGCUCAACUGUA
Molecule: ribosomal RNA, 549 nt
Filed under: uncultured Bacteroidota bacterium
Lineage: Bacteria; Pseudomonadati; Bacteroidota
Description: bacterial SSU rRNA
Rfam family: Bacterial small subunit ribosomal RNA
Source: RNAcentral